UGUCACAUAGGUGCAAUCGAUUGUCAUGCACGCUUUCUUGAAUUAUUUUGAGACAAGAUCCUUCAAAUUUUUUAGGAAAUCAAUUGACAGGUUUAUGCAAUCGAUUGUCAUUGGGAAAACUUUCAAUUUUUUUAUCAAAUUCUGGUACAAUCAAAUUGCUUUUCUCUCCAGUAUAAAAGCUAAAUAUACAUUCCCUCUUGUAACAAGCCCUAGCCGGCCCAUUUUUCAGAAACUUCUCUCUCUCAAAGGCAAAAGAGGCACUACGUUUUCUACCAAAAGCUUCACUCUUUCAAAAUUCAUCUUCUCAAAUUUUCUCAAGGCUCCAUUAAAGGUUUGAUUACUUUCUUCUUCAAAGUUGUCUCUCUUAAAUAAAGGAAAGGAAAAUGCCUCCUCUUCAAACUCAAGGUCUUCACUAAUGAAGGUGUCAAGGCUUGUACCUUCUUCCAAACAAAGACAGCGAUUUAUGGAUUUUUUUCAAAAAAAAUACUCUCAUUGCACCAAGAAAAGGAAAAAGAUUGCUGAAAAGCUUCAUGAAUGCAACUCAUGGUCAACAUGUAUCCUUACAAUAGAUGGUCAACUGAUACAUUAUUAUCAAGCUUAUGUACUGGUACCGAAGUUCUUGAAUCAUUCUCUUACCGCUUACACUAAAAUGCAACUUCUAUAUGCUAUAAAGAACAAUCAUCAAGUCAACUGGCCAUAUGUGAUUUUGCAUCAUAUGGAAAAUCAAAAUGAGUUUUCAAAAGGCCUACCUUAUGAUUAUUUUAUAUCAAUAGUUUUUAGAAGGUGCAACAUGAAUAUUACAAAUGAUAAUCGUGUCGAAAUGCAUCUUCCUGAAUAUCACAUUACUCCAAAACUCUGCAACAGUAAGAUGGGAGUUCAGUAUGACCCAAUUUCUAAAACUAUCAAGUAUAUUGAUUAUGAAACAUAAUAACCCUCCACUCCUCCUCCUCCUCCUCAAUAACCUGCAGAUGUUGCUCCCUUAAAACAAGAUGUUAUUGAUGUUGUGAAUCAAGGAUUUGCAAGGAUGGAUCUUAACUUUUGUUUUAUGCGAGAAGAAUUUGGAAGGCGUUCUACAAGAAUGGAUCACCUUAAAUCUUAUCAUAGUGAAGAGAGACCAUAUGACAUGAAACAAGACUAAGAUUUGACUUUGUUUUUUCUAUUCUCUGAAUUGUUCUUUUUAUCUUUCAAGUACUAUGUUUGAUGUUUUUGUAUUUCUUGAAUUACGUUUCAAGUACUUUAAAUAGUGUUUUUGUAUUGUUUGACUGAUGUUGGUUUGACUUCUAUUUGGUUAAGUUGAAGUUUCAUUAUGAAUGUUUGAAUCUUGUAUGGCUUUAUUAUAUUUUGAUGUUUCACCCAUCUUUCCCUUCUUUUUGAUAAUGUCAAAAGGGGGAGAAGGAUGAAUAUAUGUUUGUGAUUCAUUGUUUCUAUCUUCAUCUAGGUUCUUGACAAUGAAGAAUUAAAGAAUCUUGAAGUAAGGGGGGGUUACUUAUCCUUGGGGGAGUUUUCCAGAAAUUACACAAACAUCAUAUAUGGAUUUGUCAUUAUCAAAAGGGGAAGAUUGCGAAGAUAAUGUUUUGAUAAAGACGAAUAUGUGGAAAGAAGGUUAAGAUUGUGUAUGUUCAAGUCAAGCUAAAGAUGUCAAGCUUCAAUGAAUGUUUUUGAUCAAGAUCAAAUUUUUAUUACAAAGGAUUGAAUGAUUAUCAAGUUACAAAUAUGUAAUUCAUCAUCUAUGUACUAUAAGUGCUCAAGCAUAUUCAUCUAAAAUCAUUCAUUAAGUUUUCAAAA
Long non-coding RNA from Lathyrus oleraceus (garden pea), 1785 nucleotides. RefSeq lists it as uncharacterized. The record is from RefSeq and is a predicted model, not a curated record. The transcript has 2 exons. NCBI's taxonomy places the organism in Eukaryota, Viridiplantae, Streptophyta, Magnoliopsida, Fabales, Fabaceae.